GAAUGUCAUCAGGUUUAUUUUAAGCCAUCGAGCCAGUCGAGUGUGACGUCUUGUUGUUGGUCUCUCUCUCUCUCUUUCUUUCUCUCUCUCUCUCUUUCUCUCCCUCUCUCUCUGAUUAAAUAUAAUUAGAACGAUUUGACAAUUCUCGCCGUGCAAUUACUGGGAUUUUUAUCAAGAUACCACCAUCCAGCUUUCGAGUGUCCUAAGCAAAGUACACCUUCUGCUCGACUUACAACCAUCUGCACUUACGCUCACAAAAAAAAAAAUCGAUUUUCGCACGUUGGGCAGCUGCGCGUCCGAUAACUAUGGCAGUAUCUGGCAACGCAAGUCUCCCUCAGACCCAGGCAUCCACUACUUGCCUCUGUCUCUCACUCAGUUGCUUUCAAACAUCAAUUGUGUUUGAACGAAAAUAGUGUUGAAAAAUAUAAAUCUUUCAUACGACCAGAUCGACUUACGACCUGUCAGUCAGAACGAAACUCAGUCGUAAGUCGAGUAGAAGGAGUACACUAUGUUACAAGUAUCAGGUCGGAGCUCCGGUUUAAAGAUGACUUCAUUCCUUCCAUCCACCCAUCUUGAAUACCCGGAAAAGGUUGAAACGUGCUGCUUCGAUUCAUCCGACAAAAAGUUCUUCAAGACUGACUAAUGGCUGAAACAAAUAAAAGAUAAAGGAUAAAAAAUUAAAGUUCUCAAAUAUGAAUAGCUUGCUUACCAACCACAUGGUUCCGGGUUCAGUCCCACUGCGUGGCACCUUGGGAUUCAAACUGAAGUGGGACAUUUCGACAGCAAUAUGGCAUCAAAAGGGUUAAAGGUAAAUACUAAACAAAAUGACCAGUCAAAACAAGGUGAAAAACCAAGGGAAUUAGUUGUGGUCUGAGGAACCCAGAUGAACAAGACAAAAUUGUAAUAUCUUAUAUUAUACCAAAUUAUGGUAAUUCUUCAGAAUAAAAAUUUUUACAAAUUA
Molecule: long non-coding RNA, 961 nt
Organism: Octopus bimaculoides (California two-spot octopus)
Lineage: Eukaryota; Metazoa; Mollusca; Cephalopoda; Octopoda; Octopodidae
Source: RefSeq, a predicted model, not a curated record